Molecule: ribosomal RNA, 397 nt
Filed under: uncultured bacterium
Lineage: Bacteria
Description: partial 16S ribosomal RNA
Rfam family: Bacterial small subunit ribosomal RNA
Source: RNAcentral
AUACGUAGGUGACAAGCGUUAUCCGGAUUUACUGGGCGUAAAGGGCGCGUAGGCGGCCCGGUAAGUCUGGAGUGAAAGUCCUGUUUUUAAGGUGGGAAUUGCUUUGGAUACUGCCGCGCUUGAGUGCAGGAGAGGUUAUCGGAAUUCCCGGUGUAGCGGUGAAAUGCGUAGAGAUCGGGAGGAACACCAGUGGCGAAGGCGGGUAACUGGACUGCAACUGACGCUGAGGCGCGAAAGUGUGGGGAGCAAACAGGAUUAGAUACCCUGGUAGUCCACACUGUAAACGAUGAAUGCUAGGUGUAAGAGGUAUCGACCCCUUUUGUGCCGGAGUCAACACAAUAAGCAUUCCGCCUGGGGAGUACGGCCGCAAGGUUGAAACUCAAAGGAAUUGACGGGG